RNAcentral lists this ribosomal RNA (396 nucleotides) under uncultured bacterium. RNAcentral describes it as "bacterial SSU rRNA". It matches the Rfam family "Bacterial small subunit ribosomal RNA", at positions 29 to 428 of the family's 1533-position model. The record is from RNAcentral.
AUUGAACGCUGGCGGCAUGCCUUACACAUGCAAGUCGAACGGUAACGCGGGGCAACCUGGCGACGAGUGGCGAACGGGUGAGUAAUACAUCGGAACGUGCCCAGUAGUGGGGGAUAGCCCGGCGAAAGCCGGAUUAAUACCGCAUACGACCUACGGGUGAAAGCAGGGGAUCGCAAGACCUUGCGCCAUUGGAGCGGCCGAUGUCAGAUUAGGUUGUUGGUGGGGUAAAGGCCUACCAAGCCGACGAUCUGUAGCUGGUCUGAGAGGACGACCAGCCACACUGGGACUGAGACACGGCCCAGACUCCUACGGGAGGCAGCAGUGGGGAAUUUUGGACAAUGGGCGCAAGCCUGAUCCAGCCAUGCCGCGUGCGGGAAGAAGGCCUUCGGGUUGUAA